AUGCAAGUCGAGGGGCAGCACAAGGAGCAAUCUGAGGUGGCGACCGGCGCACGGGUGAGUAACACGUAUGCAACCUGCCUGUAAGCGGGGAAUAACCCGUUGAAAGACGGACUAAUACCGCAUAAUGCUAAAUUACUGCAUGGUAAUUUAUUUAAACAUUUAUGGCUUACAGAUGGGCAUGCGCAUGAUUAGCUAGUUGGAGAGGUAACGGCUCCCCAAGGCAACGAUCAUUAGGGGUUCUGAGAGGAAGGUCCCCCACACUGGUACUGAGACACGGACCAGACUCCUACGGGAGGCAGCAGUGAGGAAUAUUGGUCAAUGGACGAGAGUCUGAACCAGCCAAGUCGCGUGCAGGAAGAAUGUCCUAUGGAUUGUAAACUGCUUUUGCAGGGGAAUAAAGUGCAUCACGUGUGAUGUUUUGUAUGUACUCUGCGAAUAAGGAUCGGCUAACUCCGUGCCAGCCGCUGC
RNAcentral lists this ribosomal RNA (468 nucleotides) under uncultured bacterium. RNAcentral describes it as "bacterial SSU rRNA". It matches the Rfam family "Bacterial small subunit ribosomal RNA", at positions 55 to 518 of the family's 1533-position model. The record is from RNAcentral.